CCCUUAGAUGUUCUGGGCCGCACGCGUGCUACACUGAGUGGAUCAGCGGGUCAGGUUGCGCGAAAGUGUUUCCUAAUCUUUAAAUCCGCUCGUGAUGGGGAUUGACGGUUGCAAUUUUCCGUCAUGAACGAGGAAUACCUUGUAAGCGCGGGUCAUCAUCCCGCGCUGAAUACGUCCCUGCCCUUUGUACACACCGCCCGUCGCUCCUACCGAUUGAGUGGUCCGGUGAGACUUUGGGAUCUGAGCGGAAAGAGCGUUUCGCUGUUUCUGCCCGGAAAACUCAGUCGAACCUUAUCAUUUAGAGGAAGGAGAAGUCGUAACA
RNAcentral lists this ribosomal RNA (322 nucleotides) under uncultured eukaryote. RNAcentral's name for it is "partial 18S ribosomal RNA". It matches the Rfam family "Eukaryotic small subunit ribosomal RNA", at positions 1470 to 1796 of the family's 1831-position model. The record is from RNAcentral.